Molecule: ribosomal RNA, 468 nt
Filed under: uncultured bacterium
Lineage: Bacteria
Description: partial 16S ribosomal RNA
Rfam family: Bacterial small subunit ribosomal RNA
Source: RNAcentral
GACGAACGCUGGCGGCGUGCUUAACACAUGCAAGUCGAACGAUGAUGCCAGCUUGCUGGUGGAUUAGUGGCGAACGGGUGAGUAACACGUGAGCAACCUGCCCCUGACUUCGGGAUAACCGCGGGAAACCGUGGCUAAUACCGGAUAUGACGCGCUAUCGCAUGGUGGUGUGUGGAAAGAUUUAUCGGUUGGGGAUGGGCUCGCGGCCUAUCAGCUUGUUGGUGGGGUGAUGGCCUACCAAGGCGACGACGGGUAGCCGGCCUGAGAGGGUGACCGGCCACACUGGGACUGAGACACGGCCCAGACUCCUACGGGAGGCAGCAGUGGGGAAUAUUGCACAAGGGGCGCAAGCCUGAUGCAGCGACGCCGCGUGAGGGAUGACGGCCUUCGGGUUGUAAACCUCUUUCAGUAGGGAAGAAGGCCUUCGGGUUGACGGUACCUGCAGAAGAAGCGCCGGCUAACUACGUG